This 23-nucleotide non-coding RNA is filed under the name Cricetulus griseus (Chinese hamster). Lineage: Eukaryota; Metazoa; Chordata; Mammalia; Rodentia; Cricetidae. The record is from RNAcentral.
UGGCUCUAGUACCUUUCAGUCUG